UUUCUAUUGGGUUAAUAUUUUGUGUGUUCAACAGAAAGUUCUGCUGUUGUUGCUGUAGUGACUUCAUCAGAGGGACAACUUAAAUCUACAAACAGUCUUUGUCCACGGUGAAAUGAGGGAUUUGGUUGUAUCCACAUUUGGAAAGAAGGAGUUUGCUGUUCGUAAAGGUCUGUAUAUUCUAUAUUGCUGAUAAAUGUUAUCUGUGAUUUGUUAAGUAAACUUUCAUAUAUCCUUUUUUUUAUGCAACUGUGCAGAAUACAUUUAUGUGGUUGUAAUAGUGGACUUAUUUAUUUCAGGUCUGAAUGUUUGUUUCUUGACGGAUUCAAUGUGUCGCGGCAUUGAUCAACAUUUUACAAAUGCAUACUGUUGGGUGCAUCCUGGAACAACAUUGGUGCGCUCUGCUCACCAGCAUUUGCAUCAUUUGAAGAGAAUCAGCGGUGAUACUCUGGUCAUCAUCCACAUUGGGACAAAUGACGUGGCAAGUGGAGUUUCAGCUGAUACUAUUCUUCAACGAAUGGCGGACAUGGUGGACCGCAUAUCUUCGUUUUUCAAGGACAAACUGUAUUUUGCUGUUUCCGCUGUGCUUCCUCGUUUUGUUGAUGACAAGAAGACAAAGCAUACAGUAAAGCGCUGUAACAUCUUGUUGGAGCGAUGGUGUGGAGAACGUGAGAAUAUGGUUUUUUUGCAAACAUGGAAGGCCUUUGUUUUUAGAAGAGACAUUCGGGCUGGUCUGUUCAGUGCAGAUGGUUUGCAUUUGAACAGGCAAGGGAAACUACGUCUGUUUGAUUAUUUCAAGCAUUUCUUGUGGAAUUUCUGUCAAUUUAUUGUUUAUGUGCCAUCAACAAAAAAUAAAGUGAUCUGUUGAUGUUGAGA
Astyanax mexicanus (Mexican tetra) is the source of this 873-nucleotide long non-coding RNA. RefSeq lists it as uncharacterized. The record is from RefSeq and is a predicted model, not a curated record. The transcript has 2 exons. Lineage: Eukaryota; Metazoa; Chordata; Actinopteri; Characiformes; Acestrorhamphidae.